AACAAGGCGUACCUGCGGACCUGCGGAAGGAUCAUUACAGAGUUCAUGCCCUCACGGGUAGAUCUCCCACCCUUGAAUACUAUACCUUUGUUGCUUUGGCGGGCCGCUUUGGCUACUGGCUCUGGCUAGUAAGUGCCCGCCAAAGAACCCCAAAACUCUGAAUAUUAGUGUCGUCUGAGUACUAUAUAAUAGUUAAAACUUUCAACAACGGAUCU
Molecule: unclassified non-coding RNA, 215 nt
Filed under: soil metagenome
Description: partial contains 5.8S ribosomal RNA, internal transcribed spacer 2, and large subunit ribosomal RNA
Source: RNAcentral